GUGGGGAAUAUUGGACAAUGGGCGCAAGCCUGAUCCAGCCAUGCCGCGUGAGUGAUGAAGGCCCUAGGGUUGUAAAGCUCUUUCACCGGUGAAGAUAAUGACGGUAACCGGAGAAGAAGCCCCGGCUAACUUCGUGCCAGCAGCCGCGGUAAUACGAAGGGGGCUAGCGUUGUUCGGAUUUACUGGGCGUAAAGCGCACGUAGGCGGACUAUUAAGUCAGGGGUGAAAUCCCGGGGCUCAACCCCGGAAC
RNAcentral lists this ribosomal RNA (250 nucleotides) under Klebsiella pneumoniae. Its description in RNAcentral is "partial 16S ribosomal RNA". It matches the Rfam family "Bacterial small subunit ribosomal RNA", at positions 354 to 621 of the family's 1533-position model. Lineage: Bacteria; Pseudomonadati; Pseudomonadota; Gammaproteobacteria; Enterobacterales; Enterobacteriaceae. The record is from RNAcentral.